CACGGUUAAUUCAUUGUCAUGGAAACUGAAUUUAUCAAAAUGUUCUCGUUCACUCCUAGUGACCCAGUGAGUCGACUUACAGAGCUGGUGAAAGCAUUUUCCUUUGCUGAUCUCUAGCCCAAGGAUACAAAAAUCCUUCAGCUCUUCAUCACAAUCAUCUCUCCUUAUCUCUUGUUAAAGAAAGCUAAUGCUCUGCAAAUGUCUGUGUGGAGUGAGGCCUCCCUUCCAUCUGCAUGUGGUUUUGGAAAAAACACAGGCCGUCUCGACAACCAUCUCGAAGAACCUGCACAAGAGUGUCACAUCCAUGUGGAACACUGUGAGAGGCCAUUAUGGAUCGGUAUGCAAUCUGUAUAUCCCAGAAGGGUUGCAGAAUGACCUUUUUCCUACACUGUUCAACCUCCUCAUGAAACAACAAGCAGAGACAAAGAAGGGAGUGCAUAGUGCUUCCAGAGUACUGCAAAUGACUCCAAAAUCUCUUUCUUGAUGGGUAACAGUUAAUUUAGAUCCCAUUAUUUUGUAUGUAUAGUUGGGAUUAUGUUCUUCCA
Chrysemys picta bellii (western painted turtle) is the source of this 545-nucleotide long non-coding RNA. RefSeq lists it as uncharacterized. NCBI's taxonomy places the organism in Eukaryota, Metazoa, Chordata, Testudines, Emydidae. The record is from RefSeq and is a predicted model, not a curated record.